GCGGGGGUGGCCGAGCAAGGUCAAAGGCGCCGGACUCAGGCUCCGGUGGCGUAGGCCUGCGUGGGUUCGAAUCCCACCCCCCGCA
RNAcentral lists this transfer RNA (85 nucleotides) under Thermoprotei archaeon. RNAcentral's name for it is "tRNA-Leu". It matches the Rfam family "tRNA". Rfam says of the family: Transfer RNA (tRNA) molecules are approximately 80 nucleotides in length. Their secondary structure includes four short double-helical elements and three loops (D, anti-codon, and T loops). Further hydrogen bonds mediate the characteristic L-shaped molecular structure. tRNAs have two regions of fundamental functional importance: the anti-codon, which is responsible for specific mRNA codon recognition, and the 3' end, to which the tRNAs corresponding amino acid is attached (by aminoacyl-tRNA synthetases). tRNAs cope with the degeneracy of the genetic code in two manners: having more than one tRNA (with a specific anti-codon) for a particular amino acid; and 'wobble' base-pairing, i.e. permitting non-standard base-pairing at the 3rd anti-codon position. Lineage: Archaea; Thermoproteati; Thermoproteota; Thermoprotei. The record is from RNAcentral. RNAcentral also lists the same sequence under 1 other name.